GAUGAAGAACGCAGCGAAAUGCGAUAAGUAGUGUGAAUUGCAGAAUUCAGUGAAUCAUCGAAUCUUUGAACGCACAUUGCGCCCUUUGGUAUUCCUUAGGGCAUGCCUGUUCGAGCGUCAUUUAAACCUUCAAGCUAAGCUUGGUGUUGGGUGACUGUCCGCCUCACGGCGGACUCGCCUCAAAAUUAUUGGCGGCCGGUACAUUGGCUUCGAGCGCAGCAGAAACGCGAACUCGGGCCCGUCGGAUUGGCUCCCAGAAGCUAUCUUCACAAUUUUGACCUCGGAUCAGGUAGGGAUACCCGCUGAACUUAAGCAUAUCAAUAAGCGGAGGA
Molecule: unclassified non-coding RNA, 332 nt
Filed under: soil metagenome
Description: partial contains 5.8S ribosomal RNA, internal transcribed spacer 2, and large subunit ribosomal RNA
Rfam family: 5.8S ribosomal RNA (bases 1-120)
Source: RNAcentral